Non-coding RNA from Chiloscyllium plagiosum (whitespotted bambooshark), 3235 nucleotides. NCBI's taxonomy places the organism in Eukaryota, Metazoa, Chordata, Chondrichthyes, Orectolobiformes, Hemiscylliidae. The record is from RefSeq and is a predicted model, not a curated record.
UGCAUUUCAAAAGACAAAUUUAACACAUUUACUGCUUGACAAUGUUGACAUUGUAGCAGCAGAAUAUUGAAGCAAUACUAAUCAUCACAGAACAAAUGGAUCUCAGGGUAUAGUUUUACUCAGUGCAUUGGCGGAGACUGUUAGUUACAGAGCACACAGAACAACUGGCAAUGACUAGGCUAUAUUGUAGACGUUGCUUGUAAUGCACUGAAAAUUUCAUUGUAAUGUAUUUAAGGCUACCAUACAGUCUUGUACCAGUAGAAAGAGUCUGGAAAGAAGACUAGAAGGAUCCAUGUUUUAACAACAGCGUUUUACUGGGGAAAAACUACAUAGGAGCACUGAGCAAAACAAAAGUCCACAGAAGACAGGCUUGAAAUGGCGUGGAUUAAGGAAGAUUGGCCAAUUUGGUACAUUGAUGGUCAUUAGCCGUGGCUAUAAUUUGCUUAGCUGAAAGCAACUUCAAGCGUUCACCACUUCACCUUCACAAGCUGGUUAUGCAUGCACUUGCUUGAACGCAAACAUUUGCCUCCAGAUAUUAAGUUUUGAUCUCGAGACAGUAUGAGCAUAAAUGCAACAGAUCCAUCCAAAGUAUCUAUUGGCAGGCAUUAAGAAUGGAAGAGUUUCCUGGUCAGCCACCUUGCAGAAGGCAAUGACUAACCACUAGCACUUAUCCCAUAAGUGUGGACUUGGCUGAUGGAAAUUCACGGCCCCUUGUAACCGAGAUCAAGAGCAAAGAUGGACAGAGUGCAUCCCUGAGGUUCUUUGAGCUUUCUGACACCUCCCCAUACGACUUCUGCCGAAAAGACCGAAACAUGGCAUAUUCCUUCUCGUUGUAGAGAACCCUGUGGACUAAUAAACAAAGCUCGCUUAAACUGGCACUGUUAUCUCUGCCUAACUGCUUCACACUGAGAGAAGGUAAACAUAAAAGAAUAUCAGCUUUUGGAAAAUCUACAACCUUUUAACCUGCGGUUCAGCUGAAUUCUUUCAGUUGCUUCACGGAGUCCAAUCAUUAUAUUAUUCCUUUCCCCCUGUAAUUUCUGCUUCUUUUUCUCUGUUUGCCAGCAUCCUAAAUGUACUUUUCAAAGUUCUUUGUGCAUUUGUGAUACCAUCUAUCUCCUGCAACUCUGUUGGCAGAGGUGGGGAGUUGAGGUGGUAUUUAUAUUCAUAAAUCUUUUAGAAUUCCCUUUCACGCUAACUGGGAAUUUUAAUCAAAGGCCGUGUUUAGAGAAAUAGAGAAAGUGUCUUCUGCCUCUUCAUAAAAACAAUUGUCGCCUACUCCCAUUCAGUCCUGUCCUCACUUGCUGUUUAUGUAUUGUCUGCAAAAUGUAUACAAUGACAAACACUGUGGAUAACAGCAACUGAGAAGAUGGUGAUCUAAGGCCAAAAGAAAUGGAAAUAAAAAACUUCUGACUGUCUUCCCUUAACAAAGUGUUCAGAGUCAGGGUGAUGAUCCAGUGGGCUAUGAGCAAUUCCCAAAUCCAAGUUGAUAUGACUUUAUUUGAAGUGCACCAGGUACAUUUUAGUUAAAUUUGCUCAGGGGAACUUUACAGCCACAGAACCAAGCUCAUAAUAUUUAUGAAAGUGCUACACUAAUGUUUACAGGUUUAGACAGCUUAGUGCAAGAAAUCCAAGGGACUGUCUUUUGUCAAAUAUUGCCUGUGUAUGACAAGGAAUAGCUGGUGUGUGCAAAACAUGCAAGUCGAACUGUUUCCCUUUGGGACUGUACCAUGUGCACCAAUUUGGUAUGACUAGCAUUUUCAAGUCAUAAUUGCUGAAGUGUUAAAAAAUAGGAAAGGGCAACUGCUCUCACUGAUCAUGUUUCUUUGCAGUGGGGAAUGAGAGAUAAACUGCCCUGACUGAGAUUUCUCCAGUCUUACCAUCCAUGUCCUGACUGCCAGUGCCCAUUCCUUCCCAAGGCACUAUAUACAGUAAAUAGUGGCAGAGGAUUAGAGUCCAGUGCAGGGGCUGAGAGGAUUUUCCUCCUGUAUAGUUCAGUUAUCCAGCUUUAUGGUCUGGCAGUUCACCAUGGGAUGUAGUGUGAAGGCCAUAAUGCUCCCCUGUGAGAUAGAUGAAUACGUGGACUCUUCCCCAGCCUGUUAGCCAUAAAUAAUCUUCUGCAAAAAGCCCUCAGAUUUGGCUGUGUUUGAUUGAAUACUCAAUGCACCUUCUAAGCUGCCCUACGUCUUGUGCUGACUCAGCACCAGAGCCAUGGACACCUCUUUGAUGCUGGCAAUCCAACUGGGAGUACCACUGCACAAAGGGUAUAAAGUUUGACUUAAUUAUUUCAGGGUUGGGACAGAUCCAAGAGCUAUCUUGGCAGAUAGAAAACUCUGUCUUCAUGGCCUCCAAGCUGAAAAGAAGCAUUGCGGCAUGACUCAUUAAUUGUCUGAAUGAGACAUUUCCUUUCUGUGUAACAAUAAAGCAUAAUUAUGUACUGUAAACUACCAUCCCAAGUCCAGCCAGUUCAGUCAUAUAAUAUUUUAAUUUGAAGAAAUCAGCGUACCUUACUGUUUGGUGAGGCAACAAGCACUUGGAAUUUAUAAGUAAUUUGUUUCACUUGACUGUGUAUAAAAUACUCCAGAGCUCACGUUCUUUUAGAUCACUCUCCACCAUUCCAUUCUUCACUUUUCAUUCAGAAUAGGACCCUUUGUUUCAACAUGUCUUGUUUCUUUGGCAUAAACUGCUCUUAACUGAGAUUGAGCGGUGAAUGACACAGCAGGAAUUAAAGGGGCACGUAGUGGAUCUCAAAGUAACUAAGUGGCAUCACAAAUCAUAUUGCAAGGAAGAAAGCUAUUUGGCCCCUCACAGCUCAGCUAAUUCUUUGAAAGAAUGAUCCAACUCAUUGCACUCUCCUGCUCCUUCCCCAUAGUCCCACAUUUUUCUCUUCCUCGCAGUGUACUCUCCAGCUGACCUAUUAAGAGGAAUGCAAUUACUUCGUGGUGUGAUUGAGAGAUUUUUUAUGCCAGAGAACCUGGAUUCGAAUCCUGCCAUGCUGAUUCUGCAGAUGAUGAAACCCAAUUUCAAUAAAAAAUCUGAAUUUAAAGUCACAAUGCUGUUACAAACUCACUGUAGACCAAGAAGUCAAUGGCCUCUUCUUGUAAUAUUUAAUUGCUUCAAAAUCAUGCUUUCGGUUUUUUAACAUGUCAUCUACUGCUUAAACUCAUAAAUGGUAGCUGUCUGCGAGAAAACAAACUUCUGGAUUGUAUUUGUAGCAUCACACAGUGUGGAGCAUUUG